AUAGCUGUUGGACUGAGAUUUCCUCCCCCUCUGACUUUUACUAAAUCCCAUGUGUGAAACAGACUGAAGUUUUCAUGUUGCUAUAAACUGAGAAAAUACUACCGUGUGCUGACAAGAGUGGCUGUUUUAAAAUGCGCUUGAUAGCACUUCUGGUUUUCCAUCAUGGAUCUCCUUUUGUAGAAGCUGUAACAUAGACUUCUUCCUUUUAUUAAAUGUAAUUACUCAAGAGACUACCUUUAUCCUGAGCCUGCAAUUUACACUUAUCCUCUGGCAAAGGAGAGGUGGGAUUCAUUUCACCUGAUUUCUAGCUGUCAAAAAAAUAUUUUCCUAGUCUGAGCUUACUUCUUAGUUGAUCCAAUGAAUGGGAGAGUUCUGCAGAAAGAAAAUUGUUCCUCCCUCCCUCUUAUAGUGUUGUGGCUAUAGAAAAGUAGUUUAAACUAAGUGCCUAUGUUUUAGAAGGCUAAUGUGGAGUAAGAAUUCCAUCUCCUAUCUUCCUUUGAUAAAAUCCAAAGCUUGGAAAAGUUUUCCUUUACCCAUCUUUAACUUGUUUCUUUUUCCUUCCGCACCCCUCCUCCAGGGAAGCUUAUGCUAGAGGAAAGAAGGAAAAGCCUCCCUUUUUACCAGAGGAGCCAUCCUUCUCCUCAGAUGAUGAGGAUCCUGUUCCAGACAAGUUGUUACAUCUCAUUUGUAAGGAUAUAAUGAUUGAUGCAGCUGUUAUUCCCUGCUGUGGAAACAGUUAUUGUGAUGAAUGUAUUAGAACAGCAUUACUGGAAUCUGAGGAACGUAUGUGCCCAACGUGUCAGGAGACAGAUAUCUCGCCUGAUGCUUUAAUUCCCAACAAGUGCCUACGCCAGGCUGUGAACAACUUCAAAAAUGGAACUGGCUACACAAAAAAGCUCCAUCAGCAGAUUCGGCGGCAACAGCAGCAGCAGCAGCAGCCGCCGCGGCCUCCACCACCACUCAUGACAGUUACACCUGCCGCUGCUCUGGUGAGUGCCGCUGAAGCAUCUACAUCUUCCUCUCUGUCAAUCAGCAGUUUGUUGGAAGAGAAGGUAAGCUUUCUUUCAACAUAUGCAGUGACUCUUCUAUUGUAGUAGAGC
Molecule: long non-coding RNA, 1100 nt
Organism: Aquila chrysaetos chrysaetos
Lineage: Eukaryota; Metazoa; Chordata; Aves; Accipitriformes; Accipitridae
Exons: 3
Source: RefSeq, a predicted model, not a curated record